Amaranthus tricolor (Joseph's coat) is the source of this 1805-nucleotide long non-coding RNA. RefSeq lists it as uncharacterized. The transcript has 3 exons. The record is from RefSeq and is a predicted model, not a curated record. NCBI's taxonomy places the organism in Eukaryota, Viridiplantae, Streptophyta, Magnoliopsida, Caryophyllales, Amaranthaceae.
UAACAUCGAUCUCUAUUAUUAGUGUGUAACUUUUUUCUUGAUAUUAUAAAUUCUGUAUUAUGUCCAUAAUUUACUUUUCGCUUCGAGCCUAUGAAAUGUAAUAUUUGAGAAAUUAAUAGUUUAAGACGAGUGGUUGAAAUACCUGACCCACAUUCACGAGGAUGGUAGUUUGCGAUAUGAUGAUAGAUGGUGCGUGCCUAACGACCCAGACUUACGUACUCGUAUUUUUAAAGAGGCGCAUAGUUCAUGUUUCUCCAUACAUCCAGGCACUGACAAGCUGUAACAAGACCUCAGGAGAACAUUUUGGUGGCAUGGUAUGAAAAAGGACGUCGCUAACUUUGUUGCCAAAUGCUUGACGUGCCAGAAGGUCAAGAUAGAUCACUGUCAACCUCAAGUUUGCUUCACCCGUUGCCGAUAUCUGAGUGAAAGUGGAAAUCGAUAUUUAUGGAUUUUGUGUGUGGGAUACCGAGGACUACGAAGGGCAAUAAUAUGAUUUGAGUCAUAGUUGAUUGACUGAGCAAAUCGACGCAUUUCAUCCCGAUGAAGGAUACCUGGAACAAACAUCAGUUGGCUUUAGCAUAUCGACAGCAAGUGGUGAGACAUCACGGGAUUCCACGAGACAGUUUCAGAUAGAGAUGCUAGGUUUUUGUCUAAUUUUUAGCAAAAGCUACAGGAUUCUUUAGGUACUGAGUUGAGAAUAAGCACAACGUUUCACCCAGCUACAGAGUUGACUAUACAGACACUUGAGAAUAUGUUACGAGCAUGUGUCUUAGAUUUUAGGGGUUCAUGGGACGAUAAGUUGGACAUGAUUGAGUUCUCGUAUAACAACAAUUAUCAUUCCAGUAUCGAGAUGGCACCAUUCGAGGCACUCUAUGGUCGUAGUUGUCGUAGCCCUGUAAGUUGGGAUGAUAGUUCGGAUACGGUAGUUGUGAGACCGCCUUUGAUUCAGGAGAUGAUCGAACAAGUCCAGUUGAUACGCAAGAGGAUGAAAGCAGCUUAGGAUAGGCAAAAGAGUUACGCAGAUCAACGACAUCGACCUCUUGAGUUUCAAGUUGGAGAUAAAGUCUUCCUUCGAGUUUCACCAACUUGAGGUGUAAUGAGGUUUGGAAUGAAGGGUAAGCUCAGUCCAAGAUUCAUUGGACCCUAUGAGAUCCUUGAGCGGAUAGGCGAGGUAGCUUAUUGACUUGCGUUACCUGCGUCUAUUGACCGAGUGCAAGACGUGUUUCACGUAUCCCAACUGAGACAGUACAUCAAGGAUGAUUCACACGUUCUUCAGCCCGAACAGUUGAACUUAUACGACACCUUACAGUAUGAGGAGACUCCCGUUUAGAUUCUAGAUAGGAAGACACAUGAUACACGUCGGGGUAGUGUAGUGCUUGUGAAGGUAUUAUGGUCUAAUCACGUCACCGAAGAAGCCACGUGGGAAGCUAAAGAUGCCAUGAGACGCGAUUAUCCCUAGUUGUUUGCUCAGCAGGCAACGUCAUCGAGGAAACUUUCUAGUGAUCGCGGAGAAACGGACUUAGCUUCUUGAACCGUCUUUGAUUGUUUACAGAUCGGAACCGGUCGCGAACGAUGGGUUAGUGGUGUUGGUUAAAGUUCCCAGGAUGUUAUAUUGAGUUGAGCACGUGGGAAUUUGUAGUUUUGUAUUAGGUUUUAAUAAAUGUAUCUUAGACUUGGUUAUGUUGGUUAUAUUGGACAUAAAGUAAAUUGUAUGAUUACCUUGUGUUGUAGUUAGAUGUUUGGUUUGAGAAUUAGCUGAGUUAGUUAUAUUAUAGAGCUGGUGACUCUUUUGCUCAUGUUUUGAA